ACGGGAGUCGGGUGGACGCUUGCGUUCGCCAACCUGGUCAGAUCCGGAAGGAAGCAGCCACAACGGAUUGCUGCGGGUCAUCCGGCUCCUUUUUC
Molecule: signal recognition particle RNA, 95 nt
Filed under: Croceicoccus esteveae
Lineage: Bacteria; Pseudomonadati; Pseudomonadota; Alphaproteobacteria; Sphingomonadales; Erythrobacteraceae
Description: signal recognition particle sRNA small type
Rfam family: Bacterial small signal recognition particle RNA
About the family: The signal recognition particle (SRP) is a universally conserved ribonucleoprotein involved in the co-translational targeting of proteins to membranes. Archaeal SRP consists of a 7S RNA and homologues of the eukaryotic SRP19 and SRP54 proteins. In most bacteria, the SRP consists of a 4.5S RNA and the Ffh protein (a homologue of the eukaryotic SRP54 protein).
Source: RNAcentral